CCUACGGGAGGCUGCAGUGAGGAAUAUUGGUCAAUGGACGAGAGUCUGAACCAGCCAAGUAGCGUGAAGGAUGACUGCCCUAUGGGUUGUAAACUUCUUUUAUAUGGGAAUAAAAUGUUCCACGUGUGGGAUUUUGUAUGUACCAUAUGAAUAAGGAUCGGCUAACUCCGUGCCAGCAGCCGCGGUAAUCCGGAGGAUCCGAGCGUUAUCCGGAUUUAUUGGGUUUAAAGGGAGCGUAGGUGGAUUGUUAAGUCAGUUGUGAAAGUUUGCGGCUCAACCGUAAAAUUGCAGUUGAAACUGGCAGUCUUGAGUACAGUAGAGGUGGGCGGAAUUCGUGGUGUAGCGGUGAAAUGCUUAGAUAUCACGAAGAACUCCGAUUGCGAAGGCAGUUCACUGGACUGCAACCGACACUGAGGCUCGAAAGUGUGGGUAUCAAACAGGAUUAGAUACCCUUGUAGUC
This 460-nucleotide ribosomal RNA is filed under the name uncultured bacterium. Its description in RNAcentral is "partial 16S ribosomal RNA". It matches the Rfam family "Bacterial small subunit ribosomal RNA", at positions 338 to 795 of the family's 1533-position model. The record is from RNAcentral.